Molecule: ribosomal RNA, 253 nt
Filed under: uncultured bacterium
Lineage: Bacteria
Description: partial 16S ribosomal RNA
Rfam family: Bacterial small subunit ribosomal RNA
Source: RNAcentral
UACGUAGGGUGCAAGCGUUGUCCGGAAUUAUUGGGCGUAAAGAGCUCGUAGGCGGUCUGUCGCGUCUGCUGUGAAAACUCAGGGCUUAACCCUGAGCUUGCAGUGGGUACGGGCAGACUAGAGUGCGGUAGGGGAGACUGGAAUUCCUGGUGUAGCGGUGAAAUGCGCAGAUAUCAGGAGGAACACCGGUGGCGAAGGCGGCAUCCUGGACCGAGAUUGACGCUGAUGAGCGAAAGCUAGGGGAGCAAACGGG